UACGUAGGGUGCAAGCGUUAAUCGGAAUUACUGGGCGUAAAGCGUGCGCAAGCGGCUAUGCAAGACAGAUGUGAAAUCCCCGGGCUCAACCUGGGAACUGCAUUUGUGACUGCAUGGCUAGAGUACGGUAGAGGGGGAUGGAAUUCCGCGUGUAGCAGUGAAAUGCGUAGAUAUGCGGAGGAACACCGAUGGCGAAGGCAAUCCCCUGGACCUGUACUGACGCUCAUGCACGAAAGCGUGGGGAGCAAACAGG
This 253-nucleotide ribosomal RNA is filed under the name uncultured bacterium. Its description in RNAcentral is "partial 16S ribosomal RNA". It matches the Rfam family "Bacterial small subunit ribosomal RNA", at positions 524 to 776 of the family's 1533-position model. The record is from RNAcentral.